RNAcentral lists this ribosomal RNA (473 nucleotides) under uncultured bacterium. RNAcentral's name for it is "bacterial SSU rRNA". It matches the Rfam family "Bacterial small subunit ribosomal RNA", at positions 355 to 825 of the family's 1533-position model. The record is from RNAcentral.
UGGGGAAUUUUGGACAAUGGGGGAAACCCUGAUCCAGCCAUUCCGCGUGAGUGAAGAAGGCCUUCGGGUUGUAAAGCUCUUUCGGCAGGAACGAAACGGUUUUGGGCUAAUACCCCAGACUACUGACGGUACCUGAAGAAGAAGCACCGGCUAACUACGUGCCAGCAGCCGCGGUAAUACGUAGGGUGCGAGCGUUAAUCGGAUUUACUGGGCGUAAAGCAUGCGCAGGCGGCGGUUCAAGUCAGGUGUGAAAUCCCCGAGCUUAACUUGGGAAUUGCGCUUGAAACUAGAUCGCUAGAGUACGGCAGAGGGGGGUAGAAUUCCACGUGUAGCAGUGAAAUGCGUAGAGAUGUGGAGGAACACCGAUGGCGAAGGCAGCCCCCUGGGCCUGUACUGACGCUCAUGCAUGAAAGCGUGGGGAGCAAACAGGAUUAGAUACCCACGUAGUCCCUGAGCGGGCUGGCAAGGCGCAU